GACUGGUGUUGUAAGUUUAACACUCCCCCUCAAUACCAGCUUCUAUUCUUUCUACCAUCCUGAGCUAAUGACAAAACUUGAAAACAUGCUGCCAUUCAUGCCUUUCAUGAACACAUCUACAACUUGGUCCUUCGUGUUAAUAUACUUUAACCUAAAUUCCUCUUGCAUAACUUUCUUCAUGAUGAAGUGAUAACGUACGUCCAUGUG
RNAcentral lists this long non-coding RNA (207 nucleotides) under Carica papaya (papaya). RNAcentral's name for it is "long non-coding RNA (CPAP_LNC001517)". The record is from RNAcentral. Lineage: Eukaryota; Viridiplantae; Streptophyta; Magnoliopsida; Brassicales; Caricaceae.